RNAcentral lists this long non-coding RNA (2978 nucleotides) under Salmo salar (Atlantic salmon). Its description in RNAcentral is "lncRNA (ENSSSAG00000092236.1, ENSSSAG00000095594.1)". Lineage: Eukaryota; Metazoa; Chordata; Actinopteri; Salmoniformes; Salmonidae. The record is from RNAcentral.
GGUUUCAACCUAGGGUGUAGGGGGUUAGGAUUCAACCUAGGGUGUAGGGGGUUAGGGUUUCAACCUAGAGUGUAGGGGGUUAGGGUUUCAACCUAGAGUGUAGGGGGUUAGGGUUUCAACCUAGAGUGUAGGGGGUUAGGGUUUCAACCUAGAGUGUAGGGGGUUAGGAUUCAACCUAGGGUGUAGAGGGGAUUCAACCUAGGGUGUAGGGGGUUAGGGUUUCAACCUAGAGUGUAGGGGGUUAGGGUUUCAACCUAGAGUGUAGGGGGUUAGGAUUCAACCUAGAGUGUAGGGGGUUAGGGUUUCAACCUAGAGUGUAGGGGGUUAGGAUUCAACCUAGGGUGUAGGGGGGAUUCAACCUAGGGUGUAGGGGGUUAGGGUUUCAACCUAGAGUGUAGGGGGUUAGGGUUUCAACCUAGAGUGUAGGGGGUUAGGGUUUCAACCUAGAGUGUAGGGGGUUAGGAUUCAACCUAGGGUGUAGGGGGUUAGGGUUUCAACCUAGAUGUAGGGGGUUAGGGGUUUCAACCUAGAGUGUAGGGGGUUAGGGUUUCAACCUAGAGUGUAGAGGGGAUUCAACCUAGAGUGUAGGGGGUUAGGAUUCAACCUAGAGUGUAGGGGGUUAGGAUUCAACCUAGAGUGUAGGGGGUUAGGAUUCAACCUAGAGUGUAGGGGGUUAGGGUUUCAACCUAGAGUGUAGGGGGUUAGGGUUUCAACCUAGAGUGUAGGGGGUUAGGGUUUCAACCUAGAGUGUAGGGUUCAACCUAGGGUGUAGGGAUUAGGGUUCAACCUAGGGUGUAGGGGUUAGGGUUUCAACCUAGGGUGUAAGGGGUUAGGGUUGGACAUAAGUAAGAGGGUAUGUCCCAAAGUGCACACUAUACCCUAUAUAGUACACUACUUCUGACCAGAGCUCUAUGAACCCUGGUGAAACGUAUCACACUAUAUAGAGAACACGGUGCCCUUUGGGACAAACAGCCAGAGGCAGUUGAACGGGAUAAUAGACAUAAAGCGUCUCCUGGAGAAGCAUGGACUGCCUGAAAACAGAUUUCAGCCCUUACAGGACUCAGCCAUCUAGCUUUAAAAUAUAUACCUUUACAUAUAAAAACACAAGGAGUCCCAAACCACACCCUAACCCCCCUCUCCCCCCACGUAGUGCACUAGCUGGGGAAUAGGGUGCCAUUAGCCAUAGGGCUCUGGUUAAAUGUAGUGCACUAGAAAGGGAAUAGGGUGCCAUUAGGGACUGUACCCCAUCCUGUGCACAUGUUAAAAACUACUAGUACCUGUACAUUACCCACCCAGAAAAAAAUACUCAAUGUCUACAGGUAAAAAGACAACUUUUCCUUUUAUGUCCGUAGGCAUAGCGUUGUAUCAAAAAUAUACAGCUGCAGUAAACCAGUUUUACAGAACAAUGUUUGUUUGAACAGAAUGCUUUGACAUCGCUAGGUGACAUCAGAGGAUGGAGCGUGAAGGUUCUUUAUGAUGUCAUUAUGAUGUCCACGUGUUGAGGAGAUGAAGGCUCCACUCCAUGAUGAAAAUCCUCACCUCAUCGGUUUACGUCCCAAACGGCAGCCUAUUCCCUAUAGUGACCAGGGACCAUAGGGCUUUUAUUUUGGAACAUACAAGCUUGUAAAAACACUGUCUUUCAGCUCCAAAUGAUUUUACAUUUCCGUAUUCUACAAAUAUUCCCAGGCAUAAUAGAGAGAUAUGUGAUUGUACACAAAUGUAAGCAAGGUUUGAAAUGAUUAUGUUUUAGUCAAAUAGUCUAUCUGUUUGGGCUUGUUGUAUUCAAUUUGCAGUCCACAAAUUCUAUGUAAUUAUAUUCAGGCCCCCUGACCAGCCACUCAAGAAAAUAAAAUAAAAAAUUAAAUCAGCCUAUGGCUGAAUCUAGUUGAUGAUCACUGGGGUCUAGGGUGCUAUUUGGGCCGCACCCAUCCCCUCUGCCCCCUCAGUGACUAGUCUAGGGACUGAAGGGAGUGAGAUUCCGGAAUGGAACUCAGCCGUCAUCCUGUUCCGAGCACCAUGACGUCUCCAUAGCAACUUAGCAGCAGCUGGUUCUGGAAGGAGAACAACUCCCCAGAGCAGGAGUGGAAGACUGUUUAGAAAUCAGCUUUUCACCCUGUUCAUCCCCCCAUCCUUCCUUUCCAAACGUGUUCCUCUACGCUUCAACCAGGCAGUGACAUUCUGUGUACCAUUCCAUCCUUCUGUCUCAUCCUUUCCCACCCUCCUUUACAUCCCCCCGCUCCUCCUCUUCCAAAAGCACUCUCUCCAACUCCUCUUCCUCCGUUCCGGUUCAGUCUUUUCUCUGCGUCAUUGUUCCUCCUCCACUUCCUACUGGCUCCAUUUCCUGUUUCCUGGUUCAGUCCACCUUCUCUACCUUACCGAUGAUCUUCUCCUCGUAGAUGGGCAAGACGGUGUCGUCCUCUUUGACUUCCUCAAACACCACGCCACAGUCAAACUCAUCACUCACCUUCUUAAAGUAGAACCUAGAACACACAGUGAAUCAACACACACACACACAGUGAAUCAACACACACACACACAGUGAAUCAACACACACACACACACACACACAGUGAAUCAACACACACACACACACACACACAGUGAAUCAACACACACACACACACACACACACACACACAGUGAAUCAACACACACACACACACAUGAAUCAAACACACACACAGUGAAUCAACACACACACAGUGAAUCAACACACACACACACACACACACACACACACACACACACACACACACACACACACACACACACACACACACACAUCCAGAGCUUAAAUCUCCAUGACGAUGACCUCUCACCUGUAGUAGCCCUUCUUGGUGAGUAGCUCCUUGAACUGUCCCAGGGUCACCACGCGACCUUUGACCGUGGUGCGGUAGGGGAUUGGCUCGCCACAGAAGUAGUACGCCACAGUUACGUUCUCACACUGUGACACCUGCUUCUUACUGCUUAAAGACUUC